UACAGAGGGUGCGAGCGUUGUUCGGAAUUACUGGGCGUAAAGGGCCAGUAGGCGGCCAACUAAGUCCGACGUGAAAUCCCCAGGCUUAACCUGGGAACUGCGUCGGAUACUGGAUGGCUUGAAUUCGGGAGAGGGAUGCAGAAUUCCAGGUGUAGCGGUGAAAUGCGUAGAUAUCUGGAGGAAUACCGGUGGCGAAGGCGGCAUCCUGGACCGACAUUGACGCUGAAUGGCGAAAGCUAGGGGAGCAAACGGG
RNAcentral lists this ribosomal RNA (253 nucleotides) under uncultured bacterium. RNAcentral's name for it is "partial 16S ribosomal RNA". It matches the Rfam family "Bacterial small subunit ribosomal RNA", at positions 524 to 776 of the family's 1533-position model. The record is from RNAcentral.